This is a long non-coding RNA of Poecile atricapillus (Black-capped chickadee), 1295 nucleotides long. RefSeq lists it as uncharacterized. The transcript is spliced from 5 exons. The record is from RefSeq and is a predicted model, not a curated record. NCBI's taxonomy places the organism in Eukaryota, Metazoa, Chordata, Aves, Passeriformes, Paridae.
UCUGAUCUUUUUAUGUUCCUCAGCUUUUGCACUGUGGGGGCUGUUUGUAUGCAGAUCUUAUCACUCAUUUUCCCAGCACUAAACACACUUUUCUCAUCCUUAGAAAAGUUUCUCUUUGUCUGCAGCAGUGCUGAUAUGAGAGUGGCAGCAGGUUAAGCAUCAACAUCCCGUUUAAGUUACAAAGCGAGCACAGCUCGUUUCUGAUGACAUCCCCUGGAGCCAAGACGAGGAGAAGAGGGAUUUCUCUCACUCAGCUCCCUGAUGCAUCCAUGGAGCAUCUGCUCCUGAAACACCUUUCACAAAGCCUCCAGUGAAACAGCCAGAGGACUGGGCAAAGGCCCUGGUUUGUGUCCCUGGCUGUGUCACCUGUGGGAGCUCUGCACACCCCGAACCCUCCCUGUGUUGGAGCAGCGUGUUCCCCUCCGUGGCCCAGCUCUGCAGCAGCAGAUCUGCGCUCUGUCUGUGCUGCUAAUGAAUAGCAGCCUCUCUGAAACCAUGUGUGACAGCCCAGCUGUAAUUGCGUUUCAGAAAGGGGAAAGCACGUGUGUGCCCAAGCCACCCAUAAUUACUGCUCUGAAAUGCCUGGGGAGAACCACAUCGGUUGUUUUGAUGCUUCUGCCCCGAGACAGGAUCGACACACCACCAGCAAACUGAUGGAAGGGAAAUGGCCCCUGGGUGAGUUAGACCUCAUCCAUGCUCGUCAGGCUAAUUAACUCAUCAGCAAGGACUGAAUCCAGCCUCCUGGUAAGUGAUAUCUAAAUCACUGCUGCAAGGAGAGGAUGAAAUAUGGGCGCAUGAGAGGGGAGACAAGGGAUGUGACUGAGGAGGAAAAAGUCACAGAGCAAGAAGAAAUAUGGACAAGGUGUGUGAAAUGGGCCACGUUCCUCAGAGCUGCUGUCACUGCCGUGGUUCAGGUGUGGUUCAGGACGUGUGUGCAUGGACACGGAUCUCUGCCUCUGGCCAUGGAACAGCGAGAGGCUCCGAUGGGAGCGUGUGGCUCUGCUCUGUGCACGUACACGGCGACUUGGGUGCUCUUUACACACACAGGGGCACUCUGAAACAAUCUGGAAAUCCACAUUUGUUCAUGCUCAGCAGCUGGCUUUUGCCAGCAGUGAUAUUCCUGCAGCCUGUACUCAGCUGGAGCAGUCUCAUCAGCACUUCACUGUGUUCCUGGUGACUGCUCAGCCUGGGGCAUUUGGAUCUUUGAAAGGGGACAAAAAAGGAGCAGCGUGGAUAGGUUGCCCAUUAAGAUCAUCUAGUUCAACCCCUGUUUUUGGGACUAGACUGUCACCAGC